Molecule: ribosomal RNA, 468 nt
Filed under: uncultured bacterium
Lineage: Bacteria
Description: partial 16S ribosomal RNA
Rfam family: Bacterial small subunit ribosomal RNA
Source: RNAcentral
GACGAACGCUGGCGGCGUGCUUAACACAUGCAAGUCGAACGGUGAAGCCCGAUCUUGCUGGAGUGGAUCAGGUGCGAACGGGUGAGUAACACUUGAGCAACCUGUCCCUCACUCUGGGAUAUGCUCUUGAAGCGGCGUCUAAUACUGGAUACGAUAAGUGGCCGCAUGGUCAGCUUCUGUAAGGUUAGCUGGUUGGUGAUGGGCUCGCGGCCUAUCGGCUUGUUGGUUAGGUGAUGGCUAAGCAUGACGAGGACGGGUGGCCGUCCUGCGCGGGCGACCGGCCACACCGGGCCUGAGCUACGGCACAGCCUCCUCUCGUACGGAGCAGUGCAGUAUAUUGCACUAUGGGCGAGAGCCUGAUGCAGUGCAGCCGCGUGAGGUAUGACGGCCUUCGGGUUGUAAUCCUAUUUCAGCUGGGAAGAAGCGAUAGUGACGGUACCUGGAGAAGAAGCACCGGCUAACUACGUG